GACGAACGCUGGCGGCGUGCCUAAUACAUGCAAGUCGAACGAGUGGCGGACGGGUGAGUAAUGUCUGGGACACUGCCCGAUGGAGGGGGAUAACUAAUGGAAACGGUAGCUAAUACCGCAUACACUCGGAUGUGCCCAGUUGGGAUUCGCUAGUGGGUGGGGUAACGGCUCACCUGGGCGACGAUCCCUAGCUGGUCUGAGAGUAUGACCAUCCACACUGGAACGGAGACACGGUCCAGACUCCUACGGGAGGCAGCAGUGGGGAAUAUUGCACAAUGGGCGCAAUCCUGAUGCAGCCAUGCCGCGUGUAUGAAGAAGGCCUUCGGGUUGGAAAGUACUUUCAGCGAGGAGGCGUUACUCGCAGAAGAAGCACCGGCUAACUCCGUGCCAGCCGCCGCGGUAAUAC
This 406-nucleotide ribosomal RNA is filed under the name uncultured bacterium. RNAcentral's name for it is "partial 16S ribosomal RNA". It matches the Rfam family "Bacterial small subunit ribosomal RNA", at positions 28 to 526 of the family's 1533-position model. The record is from RNAcentral.